GACGAACGCUGGCGGCGUGCUUAACACAUGCAAGUCGAACGGAAAGGCCCUGCUUGCGGGGUACUCGAGUGGCGAACGGGUGAGUAACACGUGGGUGAUCUGCCCUGCACUUCGGGAUAAGCCUGGGAAACUGGGUCUAAUACCGGAUAGGAGCCAUUUUUAGUGUGAUGGUUGGAAAGUUUUUUCGGGGUAGGAUGAGCGCGCGGCCUAUCAGCUUGUUGGUGGGGUAAUGGCCUACCAAGGCGGCUAAGGGUAGCCGGCCUGAGAGGGUGGACGGCCAAAUUGGGACUGAGAUACGGCCCAGACUCCUACGGGAGGCAGCAGUGGGGAAUAUUGCACAAUGGGCGCAAGCCUGAUGCAGCGACGCCGGGUGGGGGAUGACGGGCUUCGGGUUGGAAACUCCUUUCGCUAGGGACGAAGCUUUUUGUGACGGUACCUAGAUAAGAAGCACCGGCUAACUACGUG
Molecule: ribosomal RNA, 465 nt
Filed under: uncultured bacterium
Lineage: Bacteria
Description: partial 16S ribosomal RNA
Rfam family: Bacterial small subunit ribosomal RNA
Source: RNAcentral